Long non-coding RNA from Syngnathus acus (greater pipefish), 532 nucleotides. RefSeq lists it as uncharacterized. The record is from RefSeq and is a predicted model, not a curated record. NCBI's taxonomy places the organism in Eukaryota, Metazoa, Chordata, Actinopteri, Syngnathiformes, Syngnathidae. The transcript has 2 exons.
CAGAUGGGGAUCACAAGGGGCACCAUAUUACAAAUUGAAGCACUUUCUGAGAGCAUCAACAACAUGACAUACCUGCUCAGCCGAGAUGAGGCACAGAAGGAGCUGAGGCAGUCUCAGACAGCGCUGGUUUGAAGCAAGUUCAUGUGAUGCUGACCACUGAGGCCUGGCCGAAUAACACUGAAUCUACUUCGACAAGCUACUGCAAAAAGGAGCACUAUACAGUGUGGCUUGCAAAAAAAAAAUGAUAAAGAUAAUCCUGACCUGUGCAUGUUUACACCUCAAAUGCAAAGCCAAAAAUAAGUCAGACGCAUCAUAUUUUGCGUAAUGAGAAAAAAGUGACAUGUAUGGUGAAUACAGGUCAAUUGGUUGGAGACUGACCAAUGUGUGUGUGUGUGUAUUAUAUAUACAAAUAUAUAUAGUAUAUACACUAUAAUGAUAGAUGUUAUUUUUGAAAUUAUUGACCAAUCUUAAGUGUUGUCGCGUGCUAUCUUUGACAAUGCAAUAAUACGGAAGAGGAAGUGAAGAACCAAAA